Molecule: ribosomal RNA, 468 nt
Filed under: uncultured bacterium
Lineage: Bacteria
Description: partial 16S ribosomal RNA
Rfam family: Bacterial small subunit ribosomal RNA
Source: RNAcentral
GACGAACGCUGGCGGCGUGCUUAACACAUGCCAGUCGAACGGAAAGGCCCUGCUUUUGUGGGGUGCUCGAGUGGCGAACGGGUGAGUAACACGUGAGUAACCUGCCCUUGACUUUGGGAUAACUUCAGGAAACUGCGGCUAAUACCGGAUAGGAGCUCCUGCUGCAUGGUGGGGGUUGGAAAGUUUCGGCGGUGGGGGAUGGACUCGCGGCUUAUCAGCUUGUUGGUGGGGUAGUGGCUUACCAAGGCUUUGACGGGUAGCCGGCCUGAGAGGGUGACCGGCCACAUUGGGACUGAGAUACGGCCCAGACUCCUACGGGAGGCAGCAGUGGGGAAUAUUGCCCAAUGGGCGGAAGCCUGAUGCAGCAACGCCGCGUGCGGGAUGACGGCCUUCGGGUUGUAAACCGCUUUCGCCCGUGACGAAGCGGGAGUGACGGUAAUGGGUAAAGAAGCACCGGCUAACCACGUG